GUUACUUUAUUUUUUAUUUGUAUUUAUCAGUAAUAUUUUUACAAAUGGAUGAAUAAUUCUAUAAGCAUAAUGAUAUUGUAAAAAGAAAAAAAAAAUGAAUCUGUCUAAUUACUAUGGUGCUAAGAAUUAAUACAUUUCAUCUUAUUUGCUGGAUGGUUAGGGUUUAACAUGUCGGGUGCAGCACACAUCUUCUACGACUCGAUCGAACCCUUAUGUAACAUGAGAAUUUUGUCUCAAAACAAAUCAUCUCAAAGGUUCGCUUCGUAGUUAGAUAUAUUCCUUUAUCAAUUCCAAUGAUUGAUCUGUCUAUCGAAUCUCACUUCAUUCUGACUCAAAGAAUACAUAAACUCGAUCAAGUCAAAUUGACAAUCAAAAUCGACACAAGCAAGAACCACGUCGAGCAUGAGAAGUGGUAGGCCUAACCCUAAUCCAUUUGAUCAUGAUCAGGUUUCUCUUACCGAAUCCAGCAUCACUUUAACUUCGAAGUUUCUAUAGAUUAUAGAGAGAGAGAAAGAGAGAGAGUCUGCAAAUCUACCUUUUCUUGGCAGUAGUCUUAUCCGAAAGUUGGUCAGCAGAAGAGGGAGGGGAACACUGAAAGUGAGACAAAGAGCAGUCUCUUAUCGCACCUCAACGCGUGCUCUUCCCGAAUCACGAGCUGCUCUACUCGUCCGAGCAUGGCAACUCCCACACCCACCAAAAGGAAACGCAUCGAUGCAUGUCCUCGAGUUGAUUCGAUAAUGUCCUCGAGUUGAUAAUGGCUCGCACUCGGCCGCUCCACUUUGCUGCGGGUGGCCGUCGUCUUCGGCAUAUCGUCAAACCAUGUGUCACCACAUCUUCGUGUCCAUCAGUAGAGAUUGAGGUGGAGAAGAUAGCAGCAACACGAACCGCUUACUGUCAG
Molecule: long non-coding RNA, 898 nt
Filed under: Musa acuminata (dwarf banana)
Lineage: Eukaryota; Viridiplantae; Streptophyta; Magnoliopsida; Zingiberales; Musaceae
Description: long non-coding RNA (MACU_LNC011058)
Source: RNAcentral